Molecule: ribosomal RNA, 774 nt
Filed under: uncultured organism
Description: bacterial SSU rRNA
Rfam family: Bacterial small subunit ribosomal RNA
Source: RNAcentral
AAACUAGAGUACUUCAGAGGUACGUUGGAAUUCUGUGUGUAGGGUUAAAAUCCGUAGAUACACAGAGGAAUACCAAAAGCGAAGGCAGCGUACUGGGAAGUCACUGACGCUCAGGGACGAAAGCGUGGGUAGCGAACGGGAUUAGAUACCCCGGUAGUCCACGCCGUAAACGAUGGAUACUAGUUGUUGGAGGACUCGACCCCUCCAGUGACGUCGCUAACGCAUUAAGUAUCCCGCCUGGGGAGUACGGUCGCAAGAUUAAAACUCAAAGGAAUAGACGGGGACCCACACAAGCGGUGGAGCAUGUGGUUUAAUUCGACGGUAAGCGAGGAACCUUACCUGGACUUGACAUCCCGAGAAUUUCCCCGAAAAGGGAAAGUGCCGCAAGGAACUCGGUGACAGGUGCUGCAUGGUUGUCGUCAGCUCGUGCCUUGAGGUGUUCGGUUAAGUCCGUGAACGAGCGCAACCCUUGUCCUGUGUUCUAUUUUCACAGGAGACUGCCGGCUUUAACUCGCAGGAAGCUAAGGAUGACGUCAAAUCAGCAUGGCCCUUAUGUCCAGGGCUACACACGUGCUACAAUGGCAGGUACAAUAGGCAGCAAACCCGCGAGGGGGAGCCAAUCCUCAAAAACCUGUCCUAAGUUCGAAUUGAUGGCUGCAACUCGCCAUCAUGAAGUUGGAAUCGCUAGUAACCGCGUAUCAGCCAUGACGCGGUGAAUAUGUUCAUGGGUCUUGUACUCACCGCCCGUCACGUCAUGAAAGGUGGAGGCACCCG